This 255-nucleotide ribosomal RNA is filed under the name uncultured bacterium. Its description in RNAcentral is "partial 16S ribosomal RNA". It matches the Rfam family "Bacterial small subunit ribosomal RNA", at positions 524 to 776 of the family's 1533-position model. The record is from RNAcentral.
GACGUAGGGCGCGAGCGUUUGUCCGGAUUUAUUGGGCGUAAAGAGCUCGUAGGCGGCUUGUCGCGUCGAAUGUGAAAACUCGGGGCUCAACUCCGAGCUUGCAUUCGAUACGGGCAGGCUAGAGUUCGGUAGGGGGAGACUGGAAUUCCUGGUGUAGCGGUGAAAUGCGCAGAUAUCAGGAGGAACACCGGUGGCGAAGGCGGUUCUCUGGGCAUUACCUGACGCUGAGGAGCGAAAGUGUGGGGAGCGAACAGG